AACCUAGCACACCUGCGGUGUGUACCUGCGGAGGGAUCAUUAACCUUUCAAAAAACAGGGUGCGUCGCGGCCCCCCUCCGGGGGCGGUUUGGGGUCCUCCCCUUCACGCGCGCACGACUGCAUCCUUACUUUACGAGCACCUUCUGUUCUCCCUCGGCGGGGCAACCUGCCGUUGGAACCGAAUAAACCCUUUUUCGCAUCCAGCAUUACCCGUUCCGAAACAAACAAUCGUUACAACUU
RNAcentral lists this unclassified non-coding RNA (240 nucleotides) under soil metagenome. RNAcentral's name for it is "partial contains 5.8S ribosomal RNA, internal transcribed spacer 2, and large subunit ribosomal RNA". The record is from RNAcentral.